GAUGAAGAACGUAGCGAAAUGCGAUAAGUAGUGUGAAUUGCAGAAUUCAGUGAAUCAUCGAAUCUUUGAACGCACAUUGCGCCCCUUGGUAUCCCGAGGGGCAUGCCUGUUCGAGCAUCAUUUCACCACUCAAGCCUGGCUUGGUGUUGGGCGACGUCCUCUUUGGGGACGCGCCUCGAAACGCUCGGCGGCGUGGCACCGGCUUUAAGCGUAGCAGAAUCUUUCGCUUUGGAAGUCGGGGCCCCGUCUGCCGGAAGACCUGCUCGCAAGGUUGACCUCGGAUCAGGCAGGGAUACCCGCUGAACUUAAGCAUAUCAAGCGGAGGA
RNAcentral lists this unclassified non-coding RNA (326 nucleotides) under soil metagenome. RNAcentral describes it as "partial contains 5.8S ribosomal RNA, internal transcribed spacer 2, and large subunit ribosomal RNA". The stretch from base 1 to 120 matches the Rfam family "5.8S ribosomal RNA", at positions 35 to 154 of the family's 154-position model. The record is from RNAcentral.